UCUCCGUAGGUGAACCUGCGGAGGGAUCAUUACAGAGCAUCAUGCCCUUCGGGGUAGAUCUCCACCCUAUGUAUUUAUACCUUUUGUUGCUUUGGCGGGCCGCCUCGGCCACCGGCUCCGGCUGGUGCGUGCCCGCCAGAGGACCCCAAACUCUGAAUGUUAGUGUCGUCUGAGUAAAAAUUUAAUAAGUUAAAACUUUCAACAACGGAUCUCUUGGUUCUGGCAUCGAUGAAGAACGCAGC
Molecule: unclassified non-coding RNA, 242 nt
Filed under: uncultured fungus
Lineage: Eukaryota; Fungi
Description: sequence contains ITS1, 5.8S rRNA gene
Rfam family: 5.8S ribosomal RNA (bases 194-242)
Source: RNAcentral